This 425-nucleotide ribosomal RNA is filed under the name uncultured bacterium. Its description in RNAcentral is "bacterial SSU rRNA". It matches the Rfam family "Bacterial small subunit ribosomal RNA", at positions 355 to 774 of the family's 1533-position model. The record is from RNAcentral.
UCGAGAAUUUUUCUCAAUGGGCGCAAGCCUGAAGGAGCGACGCCGCGUGGAGGAUGAAGGUCUUCGGAUUGUAAACUCCUGUCAUUUGGGAACAAACCCUCCGGUUAACUGCCGGAAGGCUGAUAGUACCAGAAGAGGAAGGGACGGCUAACUCUGUGCCAGCAGCCGCGGUAAUACAGAGGUCUCAACCGUUGUUCGGAUUCAUUGGGCGUAAAGGGUGCGUAGGCGGUCGCGUAAGUCAGGUGUGAAAUCCCGGGGCUCAACCCCGGAACUGCACUUGAUACUGCGUGGCUAGGAUACUGGAGAGGAGACUGGAAUUUACGGUGUAGCAGUGAAAUGCGUAGAUAUCGUAAGGAAGACCAGUGGCGAAGGCGAGUCUCUGGACAGUUAUCGACGCUGAGGCACGAAGGCUAGGGGAGCAAACG